Molecule: ribosomal RNA, 443 nt
Filed under: uncultured bacterium
Lineage: Bacteria
Description: partial 16S ribosomal RNA
Rfam family: Bacterial small subunit ribosomal RNA
Source: RNAcentral
CCUACGGGAAGCAGCAGUGGGGAAUAUUGGGCAAUGGGCGCAAGCCUGACCCAGCAACGCCGCGUGAAGGAAGAAGGCCCUCGGGUUGUAAACUUCUUUUAUCAAGGACGAAACAAAUGACGGUACUUGAUGAAUAAGCCACGGCUAACUACGUGCCAGCAGCCGCGGUAAUACGUAGGUGGCAAGCGUUAUCCGGAUUUACUGGGUGUAAAGGGCGGGUAGGCGGGGCUGCAAGUCAGAUGUGAAAACCAUGGGCUCAACCCAUGGCCUGCAUUUGAAACUGGAGUUCUUGAGUGUUGGAGAGGCAGGCGGAAUUCCGUGUGUAGCGGUGAAAUGCGUAGAUAUACGGAGGAACACCAGUGGCGAAGGCAGCUCACUGGACUGCAACUGACACUGAGGCUCGAAAGUGUGGGUAUCAAACAGGAUUAGAUACCCUUGUAGUC